AUACGGAGGGUCCGAGCGUUAUCCGGAAUCAUUGGGUUUAAAGGGUCCGUAGGCGGGAAUCUAAGUCAGAGGUGAAAUCUUGCAGCUCAACUGUAAAAUUGCCAUUGAUACUGGAUUUCUUGAAUUAGUGUGAAGUGGUUAGAAUGUGUAGUGUAGCGGUGAAAUGCAUAGAUAUUACACAGAAUACCAAUUGCGAAGGCAGAUCACUAACACUAUAUUGACGCUAAGGGACGAAAGCGUGGGGAGCGAACAGGAUUAGAAACCCGGGUAGUCC
Molecule: ribosomal RNA, 274 nt
Filed under: uncultured bacterium
Lineage: Bacteria
Description: partial 16S ribosomal RNA
Rfam family: Bacterial small subunit ribosomal RNA
Source: RNAcentral